This 21-nucleotide non-coding RNA is filed under the name Arabidopsis thaliana (thale cress). The record is from RNAcentral. Lineage: Eukaryota; Viridiplantae; Streptophyta; Magnoliopsida; Brassicales; Brassicaceae.
CUAACCAACCUACUUCUUGCU